RNAcentral lists this non-coding RNA (31 nucleotides) under Mus musculus (house mouse). The record is from RNAcentral. Lineage: Eukaryota; Metazoa; Chordata; Mammalia; Rodentia; Muridae.
UGCCUGCUUUGGUGCCGGGUUUCCCCCAGUU